UUUUUUGGUCAAAGAAACCUGGCAUUGCAUUAUCAUGAAAAAUGCUGUCCCAAAAAUUUGUUUUUGCCUAGGACAACUUUAGAGCUCCAAACAAGCAUAAGAGUCCAUUUGUCCCAUUUCUCCUGCGUACACACUCUCAGACCAGCUCAAAAUGAAAUGCACACACUAAAUGUUUAUAAACCUAAUAGGAAUUCAUGAACCACGAACACAAUAUUUCAAUUUCUAACUGAUGGGGACAAUACCAUAAUAUUUCAAUUUCUAACUGAUGGGGACAAGACCAUUCAUGGUACCCAUCUUUUAGCUCAUUUAAUUUUGAACUAGUUACUUCUUUCUUUCCUCUUCUUCUAGUACCAUUUCCCAAUUUUUACUCUGUCACUUCUUCAACUUCUUUCUUUCUGCCUUUUCGUGUAUCAUUAGCACCUUGCUGUUGCUGCUCAGCCUUUUUCUGAGCUCGAAUCAUGGCUCGUCGAGCACGCGGCCGCAUUUCUCGUACUGUUCUUGGAGGCAUUACAUAUGGCUCAAGUGGCCGAUCACCAAAGGGGUGCUCACUUCCAGCAAAAAUCCUCAGUUUUCUAUCUCUAUCAUCACGCAAUUUGUUUCUAGGAAGCAUGCGCAAGACUGCUUUGCGAAUUACUUCUGCAGGGUCCUUUGCCAUCUGAUCCUUUAAACUCCUUUCCUUGAGAUGGCCCACAUACCCAGUAUGCCAGCGAUAAAAUUUAUCUGUCAUCUUUCUCCCUGUAACACAUACAUC
Molecule: unclassified non-coding RNA, 751 nt
Filed under: Hevea brasiliensis (rubber tree)
Lineage: Eukaryota; Viridiplantae; Streptophyta; Magnoliopsida; Malpighiales; Euphorbiaceae
Source: RNAcentral